Molecule: long non-coding RNA, 6981 nt
Filed under: Brassica napus (rape)
Lineage: Eukaryota; Viridiplantae; Streptophyta; Magnoliopsida; Brassicales; Brassicaceae
Description: long non-coding RNA (BNAP_LNC026278)
Source: RNAcentral
GAAGGUGACGGGUGUCACAAUUUGGUAUCAGAGCGGGUUCCAUCCCGGUUCCGUCCGGGAUGGCGGUCAGGGGAUUCGGUUUUCAUCGGUUUUCAACUUUAAAAAAAAAAAACUAUAUAUUUAUUUAUACAUUUCGAAAUUCUUUUAGCACCAUUCUGUCCUGUAAUUACUAACUCAAAUGUCUCUUUCUAUGACGAUGAGUAAAAUCAUCGACUAUAUAUUUAUUUAUACAUUUCGAAAUUCUUUUAGCACCAUUCUGUCCUGUAAUUACUAACUCAAAUGUCUCUUUCUAUGACGAUGAGUAAAAUCAUCGUCAUUCGUCCUUCGACUAAUAAGGUUCUCGACAGAUGUUCAGCAGUUGCGUGAAGUCCAAGUUCGUCAGUUUUCUCGGGAGUUAUCAGUUUCUUCGGACAUGAUUUCGAGGCUAUCCAGGAGUGGAUAUAUGACGUUUCUGCCACCAGCCCACUUCAAGCAAUCGUUCCACGAGUUUUGUUACUGGAGAUUUUGUGGUGUGUGAUAUGAGCCAUUGGUUGGCAUGUGUUGUUGUGUGUACGAGUAUAUUGACUAUUUUGGAGAUAUAUUUGUUUUGUGAACUCGUGGAGAUCGCUUUUGAAUUGGGGUGCAGCAGCUUGCGUUGUGUGGGUGUUGGAGUUACACUUUGGUAUGUUUACCAAUUUUGGCAGUGUUGAUCGUUUCAGAGAUGUGUCAGUUUGGACAACUGACAUAGGACAUUGGGAGCUGUUUAUAUCCAUCGCAGGGUACCAGUUAUGCUUGGAGGGCCGAUUUGUUCGGAUAUUCAUCAGAGAUGGAGCUACGUUUUUACGAUGUUAUCCUUGGGACGGAUUGAUUGUCACGGCAUCAAGUAGUGUUGGAUUGCCUGAUGGCAAGAGUUCCGAUUGCUGGAGCAGAUGGAAGUUGUUAGUGCAUGCAUGCUACAUACUGAGGAGUUAUGGGAUACAAGGACAUAGAGAUUUUUGACUACCAUCUCGAUGGUUAAGGCUGAUGGACAACAUGAGCUGCAGGAUCUUCCGGUUAUUGCAGAGUAUGAGGACAUAUUUGUGACCUUUGGAACGGUCAUCACAUGACACAUGAGAAACUCUUGCGAUUUGUUUGGAGCAAACAACACCAGUUUCACAAGUUUUAUACCGAUUAGCACCAACAGAGAUGACAAAGCUGAAAGAGCAUGUUGAAGAUUCAUCAGACAAGGGUUUUAUCAGACCGGGUACUUUACCGUGGGGAACAUCAUCAUUGUUGUUGUAAAGAAGAAAGGUGGGAGUUUCAAUUUUGUAUCGACUGCAAAGGUCUGAACAAAGUGACCAUUAAAGAUAAGUAUCGCUUCCGCGCGUUGAUGAAUUAUUGGAUUAUUACAGGAAGUUUAUAGUUCUUGAAGGUUGACUUGGCAUCAGAACACCAUCAGAUUACUAUAUUUGAAGAGUAUCUACUGAAUGUGAAUUUUUGUAUACAUUAUGGAUAUUAUGGGACGCAGUGAUACCAUUUGGCUCGACAAAGGCACUGUUGCAUUCAUGAAGAUAUGAAUGACGUUUUCAUGAACAUUUGGAUAGGUGUGCGAUUGUAUUCAUCGAUGACAUCCUGAUUUAUUUUGGAGAAGAAAGGAGAUUUGUGAGCAUUUCGCGGAUUGCGUUGGAUAAGCCUGGAGAGCAUCAGUUGUUCGCUAAGUUGAGGAAGUGUAGCUUCUGGCAGAGGAAUGUUGUAUUUUUGGCUGACAUGGUUUUGGAAGCAGAAUUUUGAUGGAUCAAAAGAAGAUUAAUACCGUUUCGGGGAGGUCGAAACCUAAGAGCGCUACAAAGAUCUGCCGUUCUUUUUGGGUUAAUAGUGUUCUACUGGAAGUUCAUCAAGGGUUUCACCGGUAUAGUAAUGUUAAAGACGUGGUCUGCAUGUAAAGACGUAAAGUGUGGCUGGAUAGAUUUUUGUUCAAGGAGUUUCACUGAAUUGAAGCACAACUAAUGAAGACACCAGUUUUGGGUUCUACUGAGGCUGAGGCUUACUGUGAUGUGUCAGAUACUGGAUUGGAUUUAAAUUAAGGUAUGAGGAUUAAGUCAUUCAUAUGCAUCACGCCAGAGAGGCUGUAGUGGUAUUUGCGUUAUCGUUUUGGAAAUCGUAAUUGUACGGGAAGGAAAUUCAGAUUCUCUGGGAUUAUUAGAAUGUGAAAUUUAUCUUCAUUUAUUAAAAACUUGUACUUGGACAGUGCAGUUGGAUUGAGUUUGUAGCAGGCUAUAGUCUGGAUAUCGCAUACUAUCUGGUAAGGACAACCAGGUGAUAAAUGCCUUGGGUAGGCGUAUGAGCUGUAUCUCAGGAACCAAGAAGGUUCAUGAGUUGGAGAUUUGCUAGUCUCAGGUUGGGUGUCAUUACUAUCAAUGGAGAGACAGAUGUCCUUGGGACUUUGGAGCAGGCAGUUUUGCUAUGGAGGAUACACAAGCACAAGUUAGCAUUCUGGAUUGGUUGAACAGAUCGAGAUUGGGAGUAUUGGAUAUCAUACAGCUUUGAGCAGGAUAUACUUGUACUGAAACCGAGUUUGUGUGUUGGACGAUAAGUUGUUAAGAAAAGGAAUCUUACAACAAACAUAUCACUCGUGUUUCUCUACCCAUCGGGAAGACCAAAGGGUACAAAGAUAUGAAGAGUUAACUAUAAUUGGUGUAGUAUGAAGAUGUUUGUAACUACAUUACGUCGCGGUGCCAGACAUGUUAUAUGGCAAUAACAGAGGAUCAGUCAUCUAUCAUGUUAUUUUUGAGCUUGCUUUUGCUGGAGUAGAAAUGAGGCAUGGUGAUUAUGGACAUUGUUAUUGGAUUUUAAAUCACCAUAUGUGGAAAGGAUGCCACAUGGGUAGUCAUGGAUAGACUUACCAAGUCAGCCCAUUACCUAAGUAAUUAAGAAGAUAAUCAGGGCUAAUCAAUUGGAGCAGACCUACAUUAUUGAGUUCAGGAAGUUUCAUGGAUGUCAACAUUGUAUCGGAUUGGGAAUCGAAGUUCACAUCUACAUUUCAGAAAGCCUUUCGGAAGGCACUUGGUACAAAGAUCAUAUGAGUACAUCUUAUCACCCGUUGACAUAUUGUCAGUUAGAGAGGACUAUUGAGGACUUAAAUGAUAUGUUCAGAGAUUGCGUGGGAUGGAAUUUCGGAAAGCAUCUACCUUUACCAGAGUUUGCCUACAUCGACAAUUAUCUUUCGAGUAAAAAAAAAAAAAAAAAAAAAAAAAAAAAAAAAAAAAAAAAAAAAAAAAAAAAAAAAAAAAAAAAAAAAAAAAAAAAAAAAAAAAAAAAAAAAAAAAAAAAAAAAAAAAAAAAAAAAAAAAAAAAAAAAAAAAAAAAAAAAAAAAAAAAAAAAAAAAAAAAAAAAAAAAAAAAAAAAAAAAAAAAAAAAAAAAAAAAAAAAAAAAAAAAAAAAAAAAAAAAAAAAAAAAAAAAAAAAAAAAAUUACUAUACAAGGGUUAUUUAUGGUAGACCUUAUAGUAUACCACUUUGUUGGACCAAAGUGGGGGAGCGACAUGAGUUAAAAGUAUUAAUGGUUCAAAAGACGGCUGAGCAAAUGGAAAUGCUCAAUGAUGGGCUUUCGGAAUCCCAUGACGUCAGAAGAUUUAUGCAGCUAAGCGCCAUAAAUAUUUGGAGCUACAUAUGGGCGACUUAAUAUACCUGAAAAUAAGGACAUUUCAAGAGGGGCCUAAGACUCAGAAGAUAAAGGAGCUUAAACCGAGACACAUGGAAUUGUAUCCUGCACUGGAGUGGAUUGGAUUAUUUGCUUGCAGUUACUUUAUCAGCAGUAUAUCAGCCUUCUAGUACUUGGUUCAUAUGACAGCAUUGCAAAAGUUGAGAAGGCGCUAUAACUAUUUUGCAGUAGACAUCAAGUGAGUUCAUAAAGAUUUUAUGAACCUUAUCAUCUAUUGGAGAUUUUGGAUCAUCAAGAGAAAACAGUUCGGGGAAUGUCGACUGUGUUUGUCCGAGUUCAUUGGGAGGGAGAUAAGACCCAGGAGGAGACCUGAAAGGUCGAGCGAAGAUUAGUAUUCGAGGUUUUGCUAUGAUGACAUUGGGCACGUUAGCUUAUGACAUGAAUUCGGGGACGAAUUCCUUAUAAGUGGAGGAGAAUUGUAAUGACCCACCACUCCCACCAUCUCCACUUCUUUCUCCAACCCCACCACUUCCAACUUCUUCUCCACCAUCUCCACCUUCUUCCCCACCACCUCCAUCUUCUUUAAAAUUAAGAAAAAGAGAGAGAGAGAGAGAGAGAGAGAGAGAGAGAGAGAAAGAGAGAGAGAAGAAGAAGAAGAAGGGAGAAAGCUCACCUGAGCUCGUCGCCGGAGCCACCACACGCCAGGACGUCGUAAAGCUCGUCACCACCAUCAUCCGCAACCAAAGGUAACCGGAAACCGCCAUAUUUUUGAGUUUAGUUUCGGCCGUUUUGGUAAAUCGACCAUAACUUCUUAACCGUUGCGAAUCUCGUGCAUCCAAGCCCAUCAUCGUGUUCCUCUCGUCGAGACGAAGCCGUAGACACCAAGCACGCCUCAAACGGAGCCCGGACGCAGCCGUACGCGCCUCCAGAAAACCGCCCUUCGCGCGCGCGUGAAACGCACGCGCCGCCGCCGGAAAUCGUCGCCACCGCAGCUCCGCCGCCGGACCACCGUCCGCCGCCGCAGCUCCGCCGUCGCCGCCGGCCAACUUUCCGGUAAGCCGCCGCCGCAGCUCCGCCGUCGCCGCCGGUGACCGACACCGGUGACUCACCGGCGACUCGGUCAACUCGGCCGAGUCAACUCAGUGAGUCAACUCGGUUGACUCGGUUAACCGGUUGGUUAGCCGGUUUAAAUUGAUUUUGGUUCGGUUAGGGUAAACCGGUCGGUUUAGUCAAAUCGAUUUCCGGGUUGACUUUGACCGGGUUGACUUUGACCAGCGGGUUGACUUUUUUCGAAAACCUUGACCAGUUCCGUUUUCGACCGUUCGAAAGGCGUUCUGACUCAGAAUUUCGAUCUGAUUUCAGAUAUGGAGUCUAUUUGAGCAGCUGGAGUUCAUAGACAACACUUUUCUAUUGCUAAGGUGAGGGUCUAUUCCCGAACUCCUCUUAUUCGGCUUAGGACCUCGAAUAAGUAUAAUUUAUUUCUAAUGUGUUCCGUCUGUGUGAAAUCGAGUCUAUCAUUGCUUGUUUAGUUUUAGGUUCUUUGCAUAAACCGGAACUAGGGGGUUAGAGGAUUCAACAUUGAUUGUUUCACUUAAUGUAAAUUCUUAGCUAGGAUUGUUUUUGUUUGGAGACGGAUACAGAGUCGGACUGCUGUAUGCCGGAUUGUAUGGAGGUCACAGCCAACUUUAGUCGACCGGUUGAGCUGUAGACUGGAAGUGUCGAUAAAUCGUCUACGGGCGUGUGUUACCGAGCACUUUUUCGGUGUGUGUAUGAACCGAGCACCUUUUCGGUAGUGUUUUGGCCUGUUAGUGGGCGGCGAGUGUGCACCUCGCUAGGACCAUUGUUUGUUGCUUGAGUACUUUAGGUACUGUGUUUGACAUGCAUUAGAAUUAAAUUAUAUUUAUUCGGAGUGCUAUGUCCGGGUCCAUGGACUUCGGGGUAGCAUCCCAUACCUCACUGAGCGAUUCCCCUGUCGCUCACCCCUCACUCUUCCCCCUUUCAGGUGAGACAAACAAGUAUGUGAUAUUUGGACGGACUUGGUGCUACUGGACUUUUCUUUCGGAUUUUAUUUGGGCAUGGGUGAGAGUUGUCGGGUUUAUGGGCUUUUAUAUUACAGGAUAUUGUUGGUGGCCCGUCGUCCUUAGUGUCAGGGAGACGGGUAUCACAUUGUUGUAUGAUGACGCGUCGGGGGUGACACGCUGUCCUCCAUAUAGGAGGUGACGGGUGUCACAGAUAAUUUCUUCAUCCUAACUCCUAUGUGAUUUAUUCAACUUAUUUGGUAUCAGAGCGGGUUCCAUCCCGGUUCCGUCCGGGAUGGCGGUCAGGGGAUUCGGUUUUCAUCGGUUUUCAACUUUAAAAAAAAAAAAACUAUAUAUUUAUUUAUACAUUUCGAAAUUCUUUUAGCACCAUUCUGUCCUGUAAUUACUAACUCAAAUGUCUCUUUCUAUGACGAUGAGUAAAAUCAUCGUCAUUCGUCCUUCGACUAAUAAGGUUCUCGACAGAUGUUCAGCAGUUGCGUGAAGUCCAAGUUCGUCAGUUUUCUCGGGAGUUAUCAGUUUCUUCGGACAUGAUUUCGAGGCUAUCCAGGAGUGGAUAUAUGACGUUUCUGCCACCAGCCCACUUCAAGCAAUCGUUCCACGAGUUUUGUUACUGGAGAUUUUGUGGUGUGUGAUAUGAGCCAUUGGUUGGCAUGUGUUGUUGUGUGUACGAGUAUAUUGACUAUUUUGGAGAUAUAUUUGUUUUGUGAACUCGUGGAGAUCGCUUUUGAAUUGGGGUGCAGCAGCUUGCGUUGUGUGGGUGUUGGAGUUACACUUUGGUAUGUUUACCAAUUUUGGCAGUGUUGAUCGUUUCAGAGAUGUGUCAGUUUGGACAACUGACAUAGGACAUUGGGAGCUGUUUAUAUCCAUCGCAGGGUACCAGUUAUGCUUGGAGGGCCGAUUUGUUCGGAUAUUCAUCAGAGAUGGAGCUACGUUUUUACGAUGUUAUCCUUGGGACGGAUUGAUUGUCACGGCAUCAAGUAGUGUUGGAUUGCCUGAUGGCAAGAGUUCCGAUUGCUGGAGCAGAUGGAAGUUGUUAGUGCAUGCAUGCUACAUACUGAGGAGUUAUGGGAUACAAGGACAUAGAGAUUUUUGACUACCAUCUCGAUGGUUAAGGCUGAUGGACAACAUGAGCUGCAGGAUCUUCCGGUUAUUGCAGAGUAUGAGGACAUAUUUGUGACCUUUGGAACGGUCAUCACAUGACACAUGAGAAACUCUUGCGAUUUGUUUGGAGCAAACAACACCAGUUUCACAAGUUUUAUACCGAUUAGCACCAACAGAGAUGACAAAGCUGAAAGAGCAUGUUGAAGAUUCAUCAGACAAGGG